RNAcentral lists this long non-coding RNA (199 nucleotides) under Zostera marina. RNAcentral's name for it is "long non-coding RNA (ZMAR_LNC004024)". Lineage: Eukaryota; Viridiplantae; Streptophyta; Magnoliopsida; Alismatales; Zosteraceae. The record is from RNAcentral.
UCCUUCGCAAUUUGCUCCGCGGCAGCAGCCCGAGUCUUCUCUUCCUCCGCAGCCCGACACACGUCGGCGGCCAGAAGGUCACGCUCACGCUUGACCGCGUCCAGCUCGGUCCUCACGGCAUCAAGGUCGGUCUGCACGACAUCAAGGUUGGCCCUCGAGGCAUCAAGGUCGGCCCUCGAAGCGGCAAGGUCGGCUUUCG